CAAGGAAUUUUCGGCAAUGGGCGCAAGCCUGACCGAGCAACGCCGCGUGCGGGAUGACGGCCUUCGGGUUGUAAACCGCUUUUCGGGGGGACGACUACGACGGUACCCCCGGAAGAAGCCCCGGCUAACUCUGUGCCAGCAGCCGCGGUAAGACAGAGGGGGCGAGCGUUGUCCGGAGUUACUGGGCGUAAAGCGCGCGCAGGCGGUGGUCUCAGUGUCGUGUGAAAGCCCCCGGCUCAACCGGGGGAGGUCAUGGCAAACUAGACGACUAGAGCGGCGGAGAGGCCCCUCGAAUUGCCGGUGUAGCGGUGAAAUGCGUAGAGAUCGGCAGGAAGACCAAGGGGGAAGCCAGGGGGCUGGCCGCUGGCUGACGCUGAGGCGCGACAGCGUGGGGAGCAAACCGGA
This 405-nucleotide ribosomal RNA is filed under the name uncultured bacterium. Its description in RNAcentral is "bacterial SSU rRNA". It matches the Rfam family "Bacterial small subunit ribosomal RNA", at positions 355 to 777 of the family's 1533-position model. The record is from RNAcentral.